AGGGCACCACAAGGCGUGGAGCCUGCGGCUUAAUUUGACUCAACACGGGGAAACUCACCAGGUCCAGACAAAAUAAGGAUUGACAGAUUGAGAGCUCUUUCUUGAUCUUUUGGAUGGUGGUGCAUGGCCGUUCUUAGUUGGUGGAGUGAUUUGUCUGCUUAAUUGCGAUAACGAACGAGACCUCGGCCCUUAAAUAGCCCGGUCCGCGUCCGCGGGCCGCUGGCUUCUUAGGGGGACUAUCGGCUCAAGCCGAUGGAAGUGCGCGGCA
RNAcentral lists this ribosomal RNA (268 nucleotides) under uncultured eukaryote. RNAcentral's name for it is "partial small subunit ribosomal RNA". It matches the Rfam family "Eukaryotic small subunit ribosomal RNA", at positions 1161 to 1452 of the family's 1831-position model. The record is from RNAcentral.